UUAAUCUCGGUCACCUCCGUGAGAAAAGAAGAGGAAAUGGGUGUGCAGAAAGCAGGGAGACACAAAGGAAGGGACUGGCAGGGCAAGGACACUGAAUUCACCUUUUUAAAACUGCCAUCAUUUUGCACAUGUGGAUGUUCUGUUACCUUGUACAGUUUUAAAAGCUUUUCUCUAAAAUAAUUUCCACUGUAAGGUCCCAGGAACCAGAGCACGGAGACAGAGCAGCAGACGCGGAGGUGGCUGAAACCCUUUUCUGUAAAAAUCAUCCAUGUAUGGUUUGUUUUUAUUUGUUUCCCAGGAUAUGAGCACUUUUCGAGGCACACAAUUGGUGCUAUCUCUCAACCUUUGUACUCAAUAUAAGGAUAUUUUUAGAAAAAAGGGUUUUAUAGGAAAAAGAAGAACAAGCAGCUCAGUGCUGGUCUGGGCCCAGAGCAGCAGUUCUGGAUCCUGCUGCUGUUGUGGGGGAAAUCCAGGCUGGGAAACAUCCCUACAUGGGAGAAAAUUCUCUGCAGAGCACUUGGAGAUCGAACAGCAAAAAAAACAUUACAGAAAAGCUUGUUUUCACCUGAAAACCCAACACGAUUUGCCAUCUGAGAAGUCCCAGAAAUUUUCUAGACAAAACUGUUUGUCUGAGAUUUCACAGUUAACUUUGGAAGGUCUGAAGUGGAUAAGCUUCUCAACUCGCAGAAAUUUGACUCCACUAUUUGUAAUACCAAAUUUUUUGAAGUCUCUCAGCCUUGAGAAUUAACUUGUCAACUGUGAAGAAGCUCCAAAUUUGUCCAUAAAUCAUUUUGCUGCAGGCUAAAAUUUGACAGGCUCUAGAACAGAGUCUCUGAUGUCUCCAGUUUAUGACUACAGCCAAUUUUCUCCAAAUUACACUGUACUGUGUUGUUACAUUGUCAAGCUCUUCUGUAAUCAGCUGCCUUCCUCCCUUCUGCUGGAGCAGUGGGGCUGGGACCCCUCUGGGCUGGAGCUGGGGAUCUCUGAGCUGGGAUCUCUGUUCUGGUGUACAAAAUGUGCCCUGGGAAGAUGGGAGAGGGUUUGUUCUGAGCUGUCGUGCUGCUACUUGUCCUCUCCCCCAACGAGAAGGCUUCUCCAGCAGCAAUUACAGCAUGGCUGCAAACAGGCUGGAAAGAGACAUGAUGUAAAAAUUCAAUUACUUCAAGCAUUUCUGGGCUAACACUUGGCUUUAUAUAAACUCAGAGACAAUCCUAUAAGGCACUCAGGGCAGAUUAUAGGUUUGGGCAAAGCUAGAAAAUUGCUGCCAUUAUAUUGUUAUUAUUAACACCUUGUAAUUAGCCCUAAGGAAUCCUGAAGUUCUCUCUCCUGAUUUGCCUUUAAUGAAGGAAAAUUGCUACCUUUGCAAGUUGGAUGGCGCCCGCUCUGAUUAGCCUUAAGUAUAUAGGACUAUUAUUUUGAAAAUGUUUGUUGUCAUGUGAAUAUUAGUGUUGCGUGGAAAGGGGGGAGGACAGGGGAGACCUUUUGUUUUUUUUGGCUCUGGGGACUCCCAUGGUCACUUUAGGGACGGUUGUCCCCUCCAAAAUGAAGGCUGGGAGCCUUGUCAGGGUGUCAGGAGCACAAGGAAUGAAUUCAGGAGGCUCCUGUGGCAAGGGCUGCCAGCUGCCCUACCUGCUGAUUGCAUGGGCU
Molecule: long non-coding RNA, 1647 nt
Organism: Passer domesticus (house sparrow)
Lineage: Eukaryota; Metazoa; Chordata; Aves; Passeriformes; Passeridae
Exons: 5
Source: RefSeq, a predicted model, not a curated record